CCUACGGGUGGCAGCAGUGAGGAAUAUUGGUCAAUGGGCGCGAGCCUGAACCAGCCAAGUCGCGUGAGGGAAGACGGUCCUAUGGAUUGUAAACCUCUUUUGCCGGGGAGCAAAAGACCCCACGCUUGGCGUUCCGAGCGUACCCGAAGAAAAAGCAUCGGCUAACUCCGUCCCAGCAGCCGCGGUAAUACGGAGGAUGCGAGCGUUAGCCGGAUUUUAUGGGUUGAAAGGGUGCGCAGGGGGAAGAUCAAGUCAGCGGUAAAAUUGAGAGGCUCAACCUCUUCGAGCCGUUGAAAGUGGUUUUCUUGAGUGAGUGAGAAGUAUGCGGAAUGCGUGGUGUAGCGGUGAAAUGCAUAGAUAUCACGCAGAACUCCGAUUGCGAAGGCAGCAUACCGGCGCUCAACUGACGCUCAUGCACGAAAGUGUGGGUAUCGAACAGGAUUAGAUACCCCAGUAGUC
Molecule: ribosomal RNA, 459 nt
Filed under: uncultured bacterium
Lineage: Bacteria
Description: partial 16S ribosomal RNA
Rfam family: Bacterial small subunit ribosomal RNA
Source: RNAcentral